UACAGAGGUGGCAAGCGUUACUCGGAAUUACUAGGCGUAAAGGGCAGGUAGGUGGUUUGGUAAGUCUAUUGUGAAAGCUCCCGGCUUAACUGGGAGAGGCCAAUGGAUACUGCCAAGCUUGAGUAUAGGAGAGGUUACUGGAAUUCCCGGUGUAGCGGUGAAAUGCGCAGAUAUCGGGAGGAACACCAAUGGCGAAAGCAGGUAACUGGACUAUUACUGACACUCAACUGCGAAAGCUAGGGGAGCAAACAGG
This 253-nucleotide ribosomal RNA is filed under the name uncultured bacterium. RNAcentral's name for it is "partial 16S ribosomal RNA". It matches the Rfam family "Bacterial small subunit ribosomal RNA", at positions 524 to 776 of the family's 1533-position model. The record is from RNAcentral.